AUGAGAGAUUUUAAAUCACAAUGGACGUUCGAGGAGCAUGACUGCCAGCACUGUGAGCAGCAGGGCUGUCUCCAGCCGUCGACAGGGAUGCCGGCUUCAUCUUCCACAGCCCGCAGGCAGUUCCAGGCACCCCUUCUUGCUGGCAAAAUGGGAGUUCACAGGCCAGAGGAGCCAUCAGUCCUAACACAGCACAAAGAAGGAAACACGACCAUGAGAGAACGGAGAAGGGCCACCCUAGGCAGCCAGCCAAAGGGGCAAGAGGUAAAAAGAGUGGAAGUGGCGCGCCGUCGAGAUUCCCCAAAAGAAAAUAGAAAACCAUCUUGGACAACCAGCUAUAGCGCGUACCAACAAAUAAAAAGAAGACAUUCUGGAGUUCCCGCUGUGACACGGGGGGUUAGGACCCUGAUUACAGAUGCCUGGGUUGCUGUGGAGGCAUGGGUUGAAUUGCCGGCCCAGGGCAGUGGCUUAAAGGAUCUGUCACUGCCACAGGCGCAGCGUAGAUCACAGCUGUGGCUCAGAUUCAAUCCCUGGCUUGGGAACGUCCAUAGGCCACAGAUGUGGCCACCAAAAAAAAAAAAAAAAAAAAAAAAAAAAAGCUGCCCAAGAAUCCCCAAGAUCCCCAUUGCAGAACUGUUCAGACCACACACUGUUCUGGUGAAGAGUACAGCCUGGAGUCAGGGCGCCUGGAUGUGAACCCUGGUUCUGAUACUUAGCUGUAGAUGUUGGGCAAGUUACUUAGCUUUUUAGCGCUCCAGUUUCUUCAUCAGUAAGGUAGGAAUAGUAACAGUACCCACCUGAUACAGUUGUCAUGCAUCACUUCUUCUCUCCAAGUUUAAAAAUACCUUUCAAAAGAAACAAGGAGGAAAUUAACUUGCUAAGAUUAUAUACCUUGUAGCAGUUAAAAAAAAAAAAAAAUCCCCAGAGAAGUUAAAUCAUCCAAAAUGAGGUUGGGAGAGGGAAGACGUGGAGGGGAAGACACUGAUGAAAAACUCUGGCUCCCGUCCUUCAGAAGAGGGUGAACUCUUGAGGGAACAGCACUGUGAGGAGGAAACUAGCAAAACACAGAGGAGGAAAGACCAUUAUGAAAGAAUAUUCAAAGUACUUUUAGGAAAUUCUCUGGAGGGAAGUAGGAAGGCAAGCGUCCUAUCUCAUGGUGAGGCAGAAAGAGAACUAGAGCAAUCAGAGAAUGCAGUUUUAUUUCUAAAUCUGACACUGGUGUCACCUUGGUCAACUGACCUCACCUGCCUCAGCCUCAUUUGCCUUAAAACAAAAUUAUCUCCAUGCACUCUACUCUCUUCAGCUCUCAAAAUCUUUGAUUCUAGCAAUCAGUACUCUAGUUCAGGAGAUCUGAUACUCACGGGCCCUUCCAUGAAGACACAUGAAAGUCUAUAGCAGGCAAAGCCCCUCCAUCAAUGAGGCAAAUCAAGGGAAUCCUAGAAGGCUGGUUGUGGAAUUGGGUUCUGAGGGCUCUGCUCUCUAGGGAACAAUUUGGCUUAGUUGUCUCUUUCAAAGUCAUGGAAUCACAGGAUUGCCCAAACUGGAAAGUACCCUGCACCCUCAUUCUGCAGGUUCAGAAAAGUCAAAUGACCUGGCCAAGGUCAUCCAGCAGAAUAUGGCAGAGCCAGGACUAGAGCUUGCCCACUGCCUCUGCUGUCUGUAAAUGCAGGGGCUCAAGGGCUAGAACACAGCAAGUGUGCCCUUACAUAUGACUUUUAAUUGAACAGUGUCUUGGACACAAGCAGGGCUGGGGCUAGGGUAAGGUAAAUGGGGCACUGGUGUCAGGAGCAAAAUUAAAGGCGGAGCAUAAAAAAACUCAGCAUUAAAACACAGUAUCUUUAAUGCACUACUAAAAAUUAAAAAUCCAUGAACAAAAUACACAAUAUAACAUUUUUAAAUAAAGACAGAAUUGGGGAGUUUCUGUCGUGGCUC
This 1929-nucleotide long non-coding RNA is filed under the name Sus scrofa (pig). Its description in RNAcentral is "lncRNA (ENSSSCG00055013092.1)". The record is from RNAcentral. Lineage: Eukaryota; Metazoa; Chordata; Mammalia; Artiodactyla; Suidae.